RNAcentral lists this long non-coding RNA (451 nucleotides) under Sinocyclocheilus anshuiensis. Its description in RNAcentral is "lncRNA (ENSSANG00000040760.1)". The record is from RNAcentral. Lineage: Eukaryota; Metazoa; Chordata; Actinopteri; Cypriniformes; Cyprinidae.
AAUAACUAAUGAAUACCUUUUUAAAUGUAAUACAACACCCGGCUACAGAGUUCCUCCUGCUUUGUAUUGGUUGGUGAAACCUGUCACCCGGACAACAGGAUACAAAGAUAAAAUGAGAUACAGCUUGUACCUUGUAUCCUACAAUUAAACCACAACUUCCUUGUUCCUCCAGUGAGGUCAGCAAACGCAGCAGUCUGUUAUUCCUGGAAUAUACAUACACACAUGUAACAUUUAAAAGAAAUUUAUUUCUUCUCUUUCAAGACAAAUCUAUGAUCAAAACAGCAGGAUGAGGAGGAUGAGUGUCUUCCCACAGCAUGUCACGGCUCUGGGAAACUUGGGACGAACUGUGAACGAAAUCCGGCAGGAAGCUGAGAAGGGUAAAUCUGAACUGGUAUCUGACCUGGUUAGCCUUUCAGCCGGAGCCAGAAUUCAAGCCAUACGAUCAUUACCU